UUAACGGCCGCAGAAACCUAACUGUGCUAAGGUAGCCUAAUUCCUUGCCUUAUAAUUGAAGGCCAGUGAACGGUUAUACGAGAAUUAAACUGUCUCUAAUAGUUAAACUAAAAAUUACUCUUUAAGUGAAAAAACUUAACUAAUACUGAAAGACGAGAAGACCCUGUAGAGUUUAACUCCACAAUUAUAUCUACAAUUAAAUAAAAUAAUCCAACAGUUUAAUUGGGGCAAUCAGGGAACAAAUUAAACUUCCCCUAUUUGCAUUACCUACUAGUCACCGACCUCCACGAAUAAUUUAAGAAAAAACUACCUCAGGGAUAACAGCAUAAUAUUAUUGAAAAGUACAUAUUAAUAAUAAUGAUUAUGACCUCGAUGUUGGAUUAGGGUAACUCUAAGAUGCAGAAGUCUUCUACAGUAGGCCUGUUCGGCCUCCAACCCCCUAC
This 443-nucleotide ribosomal RNA is filed under the name Claviderma sp. B NTM-2018. RNAcentral describes it as "partial 16S ribosomal RNA". It matches the Rfam family "Bacterial large subunit ribosomal RNA", at positions 1924 to 2599 of the family's 2925-position model. Lineage: Eukaryota; Metazoa; Mollusca; Caudofoveata; Chaetodermatida; Prochaetodermatidae. The record is from RNAcentral.